UUGCCCACUUGAGACUGACCAUGUAUUGAGUGGCCAUUAUGGAGGGGUAAAUCAAUAUACUCUCUGUUAACCUGAGUCAGGGGGUUUCAUCCCUGCCUCCGGACCUGUUGGGAGGAACAUCU
Doryrhamphus excisus (bluestripe pipefish) is the source of this 122-nucleotide small nucleolar RNA. RefSeq annotates it as small nucleolar RNA SNORA26. Lineage: Eukaryota; Metazoa; Chordata; Actinopteri; Syngnathiformes; Syngnathidae. The record is from RefSeq and is a predicted model, not a curated record.